UUUUCAUUUUCAGCCCCCAUUUUAGAAAAAUAAAGAAAAAAAUCAGAGAGCUUCUUUGCUCUCUCUCCCUUCCCUCUUCUCUUAACCUCCUCCAUGGCCGGCCAUGGGCUCAUCGGUGGUCGUCCGCGCCCACACCCUGAACUGCUGUCAGUAUCGGGCGAAACAAAUCCUCUUAUCCUCCUACGAACGGGGCCGAAGACAAAGCCUUCACAAUCCACCGCGACAGAGGAGAAAAGGGGAGGCCUUUUGGUUCGUCGCUCCCUUCCACGGCCUUUGGCUGAACCCCCUAGGGGUUCAACGACCUUCGAGUCGGAGAGGGACACCAGAGUACCCCCUAACGGUGGAUCGGAGGUCUAUGGAGGGUCAACGGGGGUGAAAACCGGCCAUUUUGGUGCAGGGAAGCAGCCAUCGGGCUUCGCGCGUGCCGAGGGCGCACAUGGGAGGGGGGUACGGCGUGAGGGUGACCUAGGGUUUCCAUUUUCCUAAACAUGAGUUUAGGUCUUGGGCUAACAGGCCUAAUUUGUAAUGGGUUAGUGUUUAAGUUAAUGGGUCUGUAAAUGGGGUUUUGGAAAAAUGGGCCGAUUUAACUUUGUAACUAGACAUUUAAUGGUCUUGGGACUUUAUUUGGUUAUUUUUGGUUUCUAACGGGCCGGGCCAAAAUAGGGCUCUUACACAUGCAACUGUCAUACCACUUAAUCGGACAAUUUUGUAUUUGUAUGAGAGACAUAAAAAGAAAAAAGAAAGAAAAAAAAAAGUCCAACAGAGCUUUGUCCUAAUCUCACAAACAAAAAGAUACAGACAGAGAAAGAGAAUCAAAGUUUGAGUUUUCCCCUUUUUUUAUUUUUUUUUCUGACAAAAGUUAAGGUUGUUGUAGAAAAAAAACAAGGAAAAAAGAACCCUAACCCUGUUUUUAGUUUUUUUUUUUUACUCUGCUUGCUCUUUCAUGGUGCUACAGCAAAGGCCAAAACUUUACUCUUUUUAAUUUUUUUUUUCUCUAGUAAAGCUUAGAAGUUUCAGACUUUUGGUGUUGUUGUGAGUGAAGUUCAAGCUUUAGUUAACUCUCUCACACUUUGUUGGAUCUUUUAUUUAAGGUGAAAUGAAUUAGGGUUUAUGUGAAAGGUUGAAAAAAGGGGGUUUUUUUUAAAGGGUUCUUUUGCUUAUUUAUUGUUUUUAAUAAUUUGGGUUUUUGUUGUUUUGGCCAGAAAGGGUUUUGGUAUUUUGAUUUGCAGUUUGUUAGUUGGGAAAAGUGAAAUUGGAGUGUUUAAUGAGUGAUUUUGAAGGCAGUUAAAGAAAUGCCAUUUUCUGGGUAUUUUCUUAGGGUCUUAAUGAAUUGUUAGUUUUUUUUUUUUUGGUGUGGUGGUUUUUUGGGUUAGUUUUAAAAAAUUAAUUUCUUGGUUCACCCUUAGUAUUUGAGCUGGAGCGAUUAGGAGUACCAGGGACAAUGUCUUCCUUAAGUAGGGAGCUGGUCUUUUUGAUAUUAUAGUUCCUUGAUGAGGAAAAAUUCAAGGAAACUGUUCAUAAAACAAGAGUCUGGUUUUUUCUUCAAUAUGAAACAUUUUGAAGAUCAAGUCCAGGCGGGUGAAUGGGAUGAAGUCAAGCGUUAUCUAUGUGGGUUCACUAAGGUUGAAGAUAACCCUUGCUUGACGAAGAUUUUCUUUGAAAUUAGAAAGCAGAAGUAUUUGAAAGCUCCCAACAGGCAGGAUCGAGCAAAGGCUGUUGAAAUUCUUGUAAAGGAUCUGAAGGUUUUUGCAUCCCUUAACAAGGAACAUUUUAAAGAGAUUACACAGUUGCUUACUCUUGAUAACUUUAGACAAAAUAAGCAGCUUUCAAAAUACAGUGACAAGAAAUCUGCUCGGAAUAUCAUGCUUGUAGAGCUUAAGAUGCUGAUUGGAGCUAAUCCCUUAUGUCGCGAUAAGCUUGCAUUCCCAGCUUUUAAAAUUCACAACUAAGGACCUUAAUGAACCAGAGGUGACUUUUACUUAUUCUAUGGUCGUUUUGAGUGUUAAUAAGGUCCUUAGUUGUGAACUUUUAAAAGUUGGGAAUGCAAGCUGGGAAUGUAAUUGAGUGUGUAUGCGUUCAUCUGCACUAUUUUCCCACAUUUGAUUCACAGAUUUCAAAUAACUGCUUGAGCUUCCUUGGUGUAUCAGUUAUCCCUUGUGUUGUUGGAUACAGGUUAUAUCUGUUUCUAUGCUAUUUUGCAGUCGAUAUGUUCAUGGAAGAAUGCAUAGAUCUGCAACGGAGGAUAAAAGAUGGUAUUAUCAAAAGACCUAGUGUUGUAAGUUUUGCUCCUACACGAGAAACUCCUACUUUCCUAGAAACAACUUAUCCAUUAACCAUUUUUUAUGAGUGAUUAAUGCUUGUUUGUUUAUAUGACCACUCUAUGUUCUCGGAAGGUUACUGUUCUUAGAACUACAAGGAAAUGAAUGAAUCCAAUGGAAUAAAAUGGUACUCAAGUUAUUGGUGAAA
This is an RNA transcript of Gossypium arboreum, 2466 nucleotides long. It is a transcript of the gene named protein TOPLESS-RELATED PROTEIN 2-like, with no coding region annotated. Lineage: Eukaryota; Viridiplantae; Streptophyta; Magnoliopsida; Malvales; Malvaceae. The record is from RefSeq and is a predicted model, not a curated record. The transcript has 6 exons.